This is a long non-coding RNA of Puntigrus tetrazona (Sumatra barb), 1910 nucleotides long. RefSeq lists it as uncharacterized. The transcript is spliced from 3 exons. Lineage: Eukaryota; Metazoa; Chordata; Actinopteri; Cypriniformes; Cyprinidae. The record is from RefSeq and is a predicted model, not a curated record.
AGGCCCUUAACAAAUCACCCAGCCACUUUCCACAUCUGCUGCAUGUCAGCAUCUGCCAGACGCGCUCACCCGUCCCGGACGCUGCUAGCAAGCCUUCAUUACGCCUGCUGCUGAACAGCAUGUUCAACAGGUGUUAAGUGUCUGGAAUGUGUGACUGGAAUCGGCAGUAGAUCUUGAGGCUGUACUAGUUCACAUUCACCAGUGGUCAGAGGUCAGAGGGCCCUUCUGAGCACUAAAACACCUGAGGCACAGCUCCUCUGUCAGAGACGUGGACCAGAGCAUGUUUACUCAGGGUCAGCAUUGCAGUGAACAACAGAGCAGACAGACAUGACACAACGGACCUAUGCUGUGCGUGCCGGGACUACUGGAAAUAGGCGGUUCUAAAGGAUCCGACGAAGCGACCCAGUCUACUGGGAAGACAUUUGUGUUUAACCAGGGUUAACCUGAGAUAAGAAAGAAGCACCCGCGCAGACCUUCUGGAUAUCAUCAGAGAAGCUUUUUGUUGGACUCCUGAGGAACAGGUCAAGAAGAAAGGGACAUAUGUGAGACGUUGAAAGAACCAGUAAAUUCCAACAGAUGUGGGCAGUCUGUGAGAGGAAAUCCGACGGUCUGACACAGCAGAAGAUCAUUUGGCUUUGUCCCUGCAUGUUAGGGGCAAUGACAGCACUGAGAGUAAAUGAAUGAGUCAGACACCGAGUUAAAGCUCUGGUUGUUCACCCUUAAUAAACUGUAAAUAUUUCUCUAAAAGGAAAAAAAGAACGGGGAACAACUUCGGUGCUAAAGGUUUCCUAAACAGUCCUUUCAAAUUGAAGCGCAUGAAAAUGAAGACAUUGCAGUUUUAAGAGAAAGAUUAGAUAAUCAGCCCAUUUAAAUAGUCCAUUGGACGGCGUCCAAUCACUCCCUAUUUUCCACAAAGAAUGAGGUCUAAUAAGAUGCCUCUGCAAGACACCUGAGUAAGUGGAAAUAAUCCCCCUUUGAGAGCAGCGUGUAAAAACACUCCUCUAAAAAUAUAACAUGCCUAACCUGAGGGGAGACAACAGCGUGAGAAACAGAGAGAAUAAGUGAAAAGCCGACGCACACGCAUACACAGAGAUGAAAGCAGAAGUCAGUACAGUUUACAUCAACCUGAAUCUCCUCAUUUAGAGAAUGUGAGCACAGGCCGCGUGAAGUGACAGUCGAUAAAAUAUAAGCAGACAGAGAGACAGUAAUUAGCGUGAGUGAUUCUCUAACACAGGCUUUGAGCCGACUGCUACGUUGUGACAUUUCUCAAGCCUUGUUUUGUAAAGAUGCAUCUGGAAGCUGCUGAGAAGGACGUCCCCACCUCUGUGCUCGGAAAAUUGACUCCUCCAUUUAGAAACAGAAAUGUUUGCAUAAUAAAUCAGCGCAGGAAGCUUAAGAUGUGGCUUAAACUACUUUUACAUUCUCUGGAGAGGGUAGUGCUUUCUUGUCCUCGAUGCUGGAGUGUUUGCUAAUCCAUUGCCAAGGUGCUCUGCGCAACUAUAUUUACUAACAGCUGCGACUUACAAAUUGUCCUUUGCAUAUAGGGAUAGAUUGGUCUGUACGGACAGAUAACAGAAGUCAAUCUGCUUUUAUAGCCUUUAGUCAAGCCUGUAACCACAGCAACUGAUAGAAAUAGUAAAUAUAAGGCCUUUAAGGUCUUUAGGGAUUUAAUUUUUAUUCUCAGCUAUUUUGGGUAACUCCUGCUGCUUUCAUCCUCCUGAGUAUUCAUCCAAAAACUCUCCAGUUUGGUUUGUUCUAUCAUUUAACAGGAAUUGAAUUGUGUCUUGUUCUUCAUUGGAGUCUGCAUAAUACCCUCUUUUGGUUGUUUUUUGACAACCCAAGAGAAUUUUUUAACAGCAUAGAAUAACUUUUGGUGCCAUUUAUAUGUAAAUAAUGUGACAGGCAACUAA